RNAcentral lists this transfer RNA (69 nucleotides) under Cordylochernes scorpioides. RNAcentral's name for it is "tRNA-Gly". The record is from RNAcentral. Lineage: Eukaryota; Metazoa; Arthropoda; Arachnida; Pseudoscorpiones; Chernetidae.
GCUUUUGGUUCAGUGGUAGAAUGCUCGCCUGCCACGUGGGCGCCCCGGUUUCGAUUCCUCCCCGAUGCA